AGUGAACGCUGGCGGUAGGCCUAACACAUGCAAGUCGAACGGCAGCACAGAGGAGCUUGCUCCUUGGGUGGCGAGUGGCGGACGGGUGAGGAAUACAUCGGAAUCUACUCUGUCGUGGGGGAUAACGUAGGGAAACUUACGCUAAUACCGCAUACGACCUACGGGUGAAAGCAGGGGAUCUUCGGACCUUGCGCGAUUGAAUGAGCCGGUGUCGGAUUAGCUGGUUGGCGGGGUACAGGCCGACCAAGGCGACGAUCCGUAGCUGGUCUGAGAGGACGGUCAGACACACUGGAACUGAGACACGGUCCAGACUCCUACGGGAGGCAGCAGUGGGGAAUAUUGGACAAUGGGCGCAAGCCUGAUCCAGCCAUACCGCGUGGGUGAAGAAGGCCUUCGGGUUGUAAAGCCCUUUUGUUGGGAAAGAAAUCCAUCUGGUUAAUACCCGGGUGGGAUGACGGUACCCAAAGAAUAAGCAUCGGCUAACUUCGUGCCAGCCGCCGCAGUAA
RNAcentral lists this ribosomal RNA (506 nucleotides) under uncultured bacterium. RNAcentral's name for it is "partial 16S ribosomal RNA". It matches the Rfam family "Bacterial small subunit ribosomal RNA", at positions 29 to 523 of the family's 1533-position model. The record is from RNAcentral.